AGAGAUAAUAGACAUCUACCCAACGCUCAUUUUAAUUCUGCAGAUAAAAAUAGAAAUCAAGCAGAGCAGGAUUAGAGUAACAUCAAAAGUUGUAGAAUUGAUAAACAGUGCACCAGAGGAUAUUCGACCAAAAGUUUUCGUUAGUGCAACAGCUGUUGGUUACUAUGGCACCAGUGAAACACAAGUGUUUGAUGAACAAAGUCCAUCAGGAAAUGAUUACUUGCUGGUGGACC
Non-coding RNA from Arachis ipaensis, 233 nucleotides. Lineage: Eukaryota; Viridiplantae; Streptophyta; Magnoliopsida; Fabales; Fabaceae. The record is from RefSeq and is a predicted model, not a curated record.